AGAGGUUGAGGUUGCGCAAAGUCAAAAUAUAACAGACACUUUUUUCCUGCUUUUUCAGAUGCCUCGGGGGGAGAGGAGGAGAGAGAACCGGAGAAAGAGGAGGAGAGAGAACCGGAGAAAGAGGAGGAGAGAGAACCGGAGAAAGAGGAGGAGAAACAGCCCACAUGAGAAGAAAGGAAAGAAGAGGAAUCAGGAACCCGUUCCGGCUAAGAAGAAGACUGCACUGAAAUCCCAGGAGUGAUUUAUGGCUCAGGAGAAGAAAGUUGAUGAGGGCGAGAAAAAGACCAAGAACAAGAGAUAGGUAAGACUAAGGAUGGAGGGGAUUGAAGAGACACCUGCUGUCCUAAAAAGGAACUGCAGUUAAAAUGUGCCUUAAUUCAACCACAUUGGUGUUAGAAGUGGGAAUUAUAUCUCUGUUUGUAUUCAGAAGAAGACGAUCACAGACGUCCUGGCCACGACGGAACCCAAACCGGUCGCUUUAGGCGACCUGCUGAACCUGCUUCUAAAGCACUUCAAAGAUGGGGCGGCCAGGUAGCUUAGUGGUUAGAGCGUUGGACUAGUAACCAGAAGGUUGCAAGUUCAAAUCCCCAAGCUGACAAGGUACAAGUCUGUCGUUCUGCCCCUGAACAGGCAGUUAACCCACUGUUCCUAGGCUGUCAUUGAAAAUAAGAAUUUGUUCUUAACUGACUUGCCUAGUUAAAUAAAGGUUAAGGAAAAAAAAGAUGAGCACUCAGAAUAGUUUAAACUCCAGGGUGAGUCACCUGACCUCUGUAUUCUUUUACCAGCAGGUCUAAGGGCUGUCAGCCUUUCUGUCAGUCUCUAUUUCUUUCUAUCUCUCCCUCUGUACCCCUUCUCUCCCUCUCACUCCCCCUCUCUCUCUCUUCUAUCUCUCCCUUCUCUCCCUCUCACUCCCCCUCACUCUCUUUCUCUCUCUCCCGCUCUUACUCAGUCACUUUCUCUGAAUAACGUAAUGUGACUUUUUUCUCUGGUUCCUGCUUCCUGACGAGUAAUGACCUCACACACGGCCUCUCCUCCUACCUAAAAGAAAAUGUGUACUUGGGUAUAACUUAAUAGUCUGGUGUUGGCUUCCCCUCCUCAUCUCCUCUUCUUCAUCUGACUGACCUGUGGAGGAAGUUAAAAGAGUAGAGGAGCAGCUGAAGCUUGAGGUGACAUGCAUUGGGGAGGGAACACCAGGGAGACUGAAAGCCCUCCUAGGGAAAGGUGGGCACUCAUUUACUACCCCUCAGGGUUUUAACCCCAGUCUGGCCUUGCCAGCGCUGCGCUUCCUGCUUCUGAACUGGAAUUGGAGGGACCAGAAGCCUCGCAUGAUGGUGGACAUCCCUGAUGUCCAAACUGAUUUGCUGAAGCUGCUGGAUACAGGCAUCUUGAAAGGCUGUAGAGAAGGAAACACAAACACACACCCAACCAUUUCGAACUGGACCUCUUCUGCUCUCACACAAACACACACACCACAGUUAUUGUAGUAAACAAAAACUGAAACAAAAAUUGGGAAAACAAUUGCAAAACAG
RNA transcript from Oncorhynchus tshawytscha (Chinook salmon), 1529 nucleotides. It is a transcript of the gene named cms1 ribosomal small subunit homolog, with no coding region annotated. The record is from RefSeq and is a predicted model, not a curated record. The transcript has 6 exons. NCBI's taxonomy places the organism in Eukaryota, Metazoa, Chordata, Actinopteri, Salmoniformes, Salmonidae.